RNAcentral lists this ribosomal RNA (253 nucleotides) under uncultured bacterium. Its description in RNAcentral is "partial 16S ribosomal RNA". It matches the Rfam family "Bacterial small subunit ribosomal RNA", at positions 524 to 776 of the family's 1533-position model. The record is from RNAcentral.
GACAGAGGUGCCAAGCGUUAGGCGGAAUCACUGGGCUUAAAGCGUGUGUAGGCGGAUCGUUAAGUACCUUGUGAAAUCCCACGGCUCAACCGUGGAACUGCUGGGUAUACUGGCGAUCUUGGGCCAACUAGGGGCAGCCGGAACAAGCGGUGGAGCGGUGAAAUGCGUAGAUAUCGCUUGGAACGCCGAAGGUGAAAACAGGCUGCUGGGGUUGUGCCGACGCUGAGACACGAAAGCCAGGGGAGCAAACGGG